RNAcentral lists this ribosomal RNA (508 nucleotides) under uncultured Basidiomycota. RNAcentral's name for it is "SSU rRNA". It matches the Rfam family "Eukaryotic small subunit ribosomal RNA", at positions 569 to 1082 of the family's 1831-position model. The record is from RNAcentral. Lineage: Eukaryota; Fungi; Basidiomycota.
AGCAGCCGCGGUAAUUCCAGCUCCAAUAGCGUAUAUUAAAGUUGUUGCAGUUAAAAAGCUCGUAGUUGAACUUCAGACCUGACCGGGCGGUCCGCCUAACGGCGUGUACUGUCUGGCCGGGCCUUACCUCUUGGUGAGCCGGCAUGCCCUUCGCUGGGUGCGUCGGGGAACCAGGACCUUUACCUUGAGAAAAUUAGAGUGUUCAAAGCAGGCUUACGCCGGGAUACAUUAGCAUGGAAUAAUAGAAUAGGACGUGCGGUUCUAUUUUGUUGGUUUCUAGAGUCGCCGUAAUGAUUAAUAGGGAUAGUUGGGGGCAUUUGUAUUGCGUUGCUAGAGGUGAAAUUCUUGGAUUUACGCAAGACAAACUAUUGCGAAAGCAUUUGCCAAGGAUGUUUUCAUUAAUCAAGAACGAAGGUUAGGGGAUCGAAAACGAUCAGAUACCGUUGUAGUCUUAACAGUAAACUAUGCCGACUAGGGAUCGGACGACCUCGAUAUCAUGCGUCGUUCG